CAGAGCUUAAAUUUAGGUUUACUUUUUACUUAAAGUUAACCUCUACCCUAUCACUGAAAACAAUGAAAACUCUGAAGUCGUGUUAACUGAAUAGGUAUUUCCACCUAAAGAAACUGCAUCUUGUAAUUUUAUAAAUUCUACAGUUUUAG
This is a long non-coding RNA of Oxyura jamaicensis (ruddy duck), 149 nucleotides long. RefSeq lists it as uncharacterized. The record is from RefSeq and is a predicted model, not a curated record. The transcript is spliced from 3 exons. Lineage: Eukaryota; Metazoa; Chordata; Aves; Anseriformes; Anatidae.